GAUGAACGCUGGCGGCGUGCCUAAUACAUGCAAGUCGAGCGAACAGAUGAGGAGCUUGCUCCUCUGACGUUAGCGGCGGACGGGUGAGUAACACGUGGAUAACCUACCUAUAAGACUGGGAUAACUACGGGAAACCGGAGCUAAUACCGGAUAAUAUAUUGAACCGCAUGGUUCAAUAGUGAAAAACGGUUUUGCUGUCACUUAUAGAUGGAUCCGCGCCGCAUUAGCUAGUUGGUAAGGUAACGGCUUACCAAGGCAGCGAUGCGUAGCCGACCUGAGAGGGUGAUCGGCCACACUGGAACUGAGACACGGUCCAGACUCCUACGGGAGGCAGCAGUAGGGAAUCUUCCGCAAUGGGCGAAAGCCUGACGGAGCAACGCCGCGUGAGUGAUGAAGGUCUUCGGAUCGUAAAACUCUGUUAUUAGGGAAGAACAAAUGUGUAAGUAACUAUGCACGUCUUGACGGUACCUAAUCAGAAAGCCACGGCUAACUACGUG
This 497-nucleotide ribosomal RNA is filed under the name uncultured bacterium. RNAcentral describes it as "partial 16S ribosomal RNA". It matches the Rfam family "Bacterial small subunit ribosomal RNA", at positions 28 to 507 of the family's 1533-position model. The record is from RNAcentral.